AGCAAGGCCAGGGAUCGAACCUGCAACCUCAUGGUUCCUAGUCAGAUUUGUUAACCACUGCGCAACAAUAGGAACUUCUAGGCUGAUUUUUGAGAAACAAACAGAUAGUCAAUAUUUUAUUGCGAUCACUGAGAUCCAAAAUGAAAAUGGUCUCAGUCAAAGAAGAAACUUUGCAGACUUCAGCUGAAGUUCAGGAUCAAGAGGUAAAGUAAGGCAGUUGAAGGAGUAAACUGAAUAAUUAUAUCUUGCCCAGUUUUCAUUUGAUACCCAAAGGGAAUGAAGUUAGAAACAAAAAGGUUUGGCUUUUCUUUGGAAGUGAUCUUUCCCUGGUUGGACUGAAGGGAGCAUUAAUGAAGUGAUUCCAAGUGGAAAACGCAGGCGGCUGACCCAAGACCUGAUCAACACAGGAUCCAUUCAGUUUGAAGCCGUGAGCCUUUCCUCUGUCUGUUCUAAGACACUGCCCCAGGCAGGAUGAGAAGGUAAGGGGGUAGAAGAAUGUGAGGGAGGCAGAAAUGAACAAAUGCACAGGACAGAUGAAUUCUGGCCCCAGGAAUUGGGGAGGAGCUCGCUGGAGAAGGCUUUGGAGGAGGGGUGAGUCAGAGAGCCAGGCAGAAAUGGAAGGAUGGAAGUUAUUCCAGGAGGAGGAGACCUUGAGGACAAACGCGUGGUGAUGGAAGAUGUGCUCUGUGUUUGGUAACGCGGGUGGUAUGGCACAACCGUUGGGGUGAUGUCCAAUGACCAAGGCGUCAAAAUAUUUGGAGACCUAUGCAUGACUGAAUUACAUGCUCUGGUUCCACAUUGAUGUUUGAGUCCUGUAUCGCUUGAUCCAGGCCAGGGAGUGUUAUCUCAUACAUUACCUGUGGGUCCUGCGGGGACCACAUGGAAGUUCAUCCUUCUUCACAUCCUCUCUCUAUCCUCAGCUAAACCAGGACUGUUUCGACAAACCUCUUGGGAAGAGGAGAACUAAUACUAUGAUGUAAUCUCUAUGGAUGAGUGGUUCUUGAGAUAUAGUCAGUGAAACCCUAAGGUCCCUUUGGAAGAAGUUCAGGGUCUUCCCUGGAAGGCAGAGAGACAAAUCGAAAUGGAGGGAAAGCACUCCGCCCAUUUCAAAGAAAGUAGAUCUGUGCUAGUCUCCUUGAUAGAUCAGCUCCCUGCAUGAGGCUUUAUUUAAAAAAGAAACAAGAAAAAGAAAUUCCACACCAACCAAACAAAACACUUUCAUAUCUGAAUAUGUGGACAAUCACAGCAAACUUGUGGAAGUGGGAGGAGGCCUGUUCGGUGAGUGUGAGCAGGCAAUGAUAUUAAUUAUCAGAAUAAUUGUUUUUGUGACAUUAGGAAUUGAUUUGAAUUUGCUUAUAGAGGGGAAGUUUCAAAUCUAGAGCUAAGUAUAACUUAGAAUUGUAUAACAUUUACCCUUCUGGAAAAAACAAAUGAAAGAAUCUAUCACAUAGAAAGAGAAGAUAUAUUUCUCUUGGCUUCAGCAAGCCACUAAUAGGCAAACUUCAGUAAUAAUAUCUAUAUAUAUUGACAACGUGCUCUAUACCAACCACUGUGCUGAGUAUUUUUAUGUCCAUUCAUGUCGGGUUCUUACAACAGGUCUAUAGAGACAUUAUUGUUUUAAUCUAUAUUUCUUCAUAAUAAGGAAACAAGGCUUAGAAAAUUAAGUAACACCCCCAAAUGGCACAGUUAGUGAUAAUUAAUAAUAAGGGUAAUUAAUAACAUAGGAAUAACUGAUGGAGACUAUGUAACAAGUUUCCAAGUCACCCAAAUCCAAUUUCAAGGGCAAAUACUGUCUCUGGGACUCAAGCUCACUUGGUUAUAUUGGAAAAUUCCACAGGAAGAAAUCCAUCUGUCUGCCACAGCUACUGUAAUCUUUGGAUCUUUUGUUUCAUGACUCUUUCUUAUCUCCUGUCUGCUUUCCCCUCAUGGACUAUAAUAUAGUUUUUUUAAGCAAUGAGAUGGAUGAGAUAUACCAAGCUUUUACAUGCAAAAUAUGUGAUUUAUGGGGCUGUAAUUAUAUCUUAAUUAUUACCAAAAUUUUCUCAUUCUUUAUGACAAUCACCCUCAAAGCUUCAAAUAAAUAUAUUAAAAUUUUUAUCUUAAUUCUAUUGCCAGUCAAAUAUUCCAUUCCAGAUAUUUCAGGGCUAAGUCUCUAGUUCUUUCUUGCACCUAAUUUCUUAGCUUCAGUAACUCAUUGUUAAAUGAACAUAAUCAGGCUGGUCUUAAAGAGUGAGGGGUGACAAUGAAACAUAAUGUCUGUAAGAUAUCCCCCUUCGGGCCUGGUCCAUGAUAGGCACUUUGUGUGACAGUGGGGAUAAUAAUAUUAGUGCACAUGUCUUUCCUCUUUAUUAUAAAGUCCCCAAAGGAGAAGCUCUCCUGAUUAGUUGAUUGUACUGUUUAGUCCAGUACAAUCACUGGAUUGUAUCUAUUAUUUUGCAGGUACUGUAAAUCUGACCAUCUCGGAUUUAAGUCCACAGCACUUUCAUCACCAAGAAUUAGGAGGAAGCCUGAGGCUUGCUGGGCCAGACAUCUCAUAAUUCCAAGCAGUGGAAGCCCACCAGAAGAAAGGAGAUGAGAAGGCAAGAGCGGCCCUCGCUUUUCCAUCUCUUCCAACAUCCCCCGGGGCAGUUCUGCUCUCAGCACUCUGCCGACACUUGGGACUAGAGCUGGGCUCCAUUGGACCAGUAGGUGCAUCGUGCAGAGACUGGACAUCACAGGCUUCCCCCACACCAGGUCUGAAGGAUAAAGGUACAAACAGCUGAGAAUACAAGCCAUGGACCAGAGCCCAGUGAAGUCACUACUUUGGGGGCCCAGAACUGUCAUCACUGUCUUUGCAAGUCCACAUUUCUGGAUGCUUGUGUGGACUCCGCACACCUGCAGCAUCUGGCUCAGGGCUGAGCACUUUGACUAGAACAGACCAGUUCAAAUCCAGCUUGACCUCGGCACUGUGCAGUGGGCCGAACUUCUCUGAAGCUCAGUUUCUUUGGCUGUGAAAUGGGAGAGGCUAUAACCACUUCUGGAUGUAGCAGGCAGCAAACUUUGAUGUGCACACAAACUGCCCAGGACCUUGUUACGACACGAAUUCAAACCCGGUGAAUCUGGGAUUAAGCUUGAGAUCCUGAAUUUCUAAGAAGCUACCAGCUGAGCCACACUCAGAGUGGGGACCACCCUCAGAGUAGCAAGAUUCUCCAGCCCACCACUUUGCUGAAACACCUGCCUGCUGCCAGCCGCCAGCCCAGCUGCUGUCACUUUGCUCUGUGCCGUAAGAGGAACCCGAACCUCUGCUCCUUCAGAGCCUGUGAGCUGCCAUGGUUUUAUUCUCAGCCUCCAUCUCUGUGUCCCACUGCUCUUGCCCCACCUUUGCGGGUGUCCCUGGAACAUCCACACUCCUUUCUGCCUGGAACCCCCACAAGACUUCAAGGAUUGCAGGUUGGAGGCUUAUUGUCAUUCAUUAUCUCUUCAGUUACCUCCUGGUUUCCUUUUAACUUGUGGCUGUAGCUGUAUUCUUUCUGUGGAUUCAGUCUCUGCAGGAGCAGGAUGCAUCCAUACUUAAUGAGCUUUAUUCCUAUCUUCUGUAGUGGUAAGAAUUGAAUGAGAAUUUGAGAUAUUCUAUUUGUCAUCACUGCCUUUAGUGGAUGAACAAAGAGAAUCAUACCAUAUUUGAGCAGAGAACCAAAAGCAGAGAACAUGCAGGACAUUAGGCUUGCAGAUACUUGUCUAUAGAAAGGAGGGGAUCUGGAAAACUGUUUAAUAUCUCUCUCUACAAAAAGACGUCUGGUUUGCCCUGGGCUUGAAAUGAGUCAUGUCCACUGAAGGCUCUAAGACAGCCAUCACUCCGGCUACCCGCUUUGUGGAGGUUCUCCUCUGAGAGGGCAAAUGUCUGCUGUCAGAAUCACUACAUGCCGUUUUAUCAACCUGAGCCUGGCUGGCCUGUGACUAGCACCAGCCAUCCAACCAGAGAGAGAACAGUUGCUUACUGAAAGUGGGUGUGCUAGGAUUACAUUUUCAGGUAGUGUUUGAAAACGUGUUACUAGCAAUUCCAGAUCCAUGUUUAAUUUCUUUUUAAUUGUUAUUAAAAUAUAGUUG
Non-coding RNA from Sus scrofa (pig), 4086 nucleotides. The record is from RefSeq and is a predicted model, not a curated record. Lineage: Eukaryota; Metazoa; Chordata; Mammalia; Artiodactyla; Suidae.